RNAcentral lists this transfer-messenger RNA (412 nucleotides) under Hyphomicrobium sp. It matches the Rfam family "Alphaproteobacteria transfer-messenger RNA". From Rfam's summary of the family: Bacterial tmRNA, also known as 10Sa RNA or SsrA, is named for its dual tRNA and mRNA-like properties. Its role is to liberate the mRNA from a stalled ribosome. The record is from RNAcentral. Lineage: Bacteria; Pseudomonadati; Pseudomonadota; Alphaproteobacteria; Hyphomicrobiales; Hyphomicrobiaceae.
AGGCUUUUUUUCUGCCGCGUCUGCCUCUAUAUUCACCUAGCCGGAUUCGUCCGGCUAUGGCGAUAAACGCGGUCGUAAUAAGCCGAUCGGACCCGGGGGCAGUACCCGGCGCCUCCACCAAAUGCCGCCGACAAGAGCACGUUGCGUCGGAUGGGCACGUAGGAUCAGUCGCGGGUCAUACCGCGGCGGCAUCUGAUGGGGGCGAACUAGGAUCGACGAAGGUGUAAAGGGCUUAGCUUUCGCUCGGCAUGGUUCCGCCGUCAUCGGGCCAUUCAGAAUAGUUGCCAAUGACAACUAUGCUGAGGCUGCUCUCGCUGCGUAACGCAGUGCGAAAAGCCUGAACUUGAAGCCCUUGCCCCUAGCCGGGUAAGGCGCGGUCCGGAGGGCACCGGGCAACAGAAGCCCUCCAACU